UUGGGAAGAAAAAAUCGGGAACUUAUGAGGACCGGGUAUUUUCAUCUCAAAAAAAAGAAAUACUCUCGAGGAUCGGAAAUUAAACUUACUGAAAUUGUUGGUUAGGUUGUUAUGAGAUUAGUCAAUAGGGAUUUAUUGUUAUACUGGAGUCUUUUAAAGGGUGGAGAAUUAAUUUCUCCUUGUUUCUCUUUUUUUUAAAUAAAUAUUUCAUUAAUUACGAAUAUAGAUACAUCUAAUAAAAUCAAUAAACAACGGUUUCUAAAGUAUCCUAGGCAACUCUUUCUCUCUCCGGUAUAUAUAUAAGGUGCCUCUUGAAUGGCUUAUAUAUAUAUAUAUAUAUAUA
RNAcentral lists this long non-coding RNA (343 nucleotides) under Phoenix dactylifera (date palm). Its description in RNAcentral is "long non-coding RNA (PDAC_LNC015584)". Lineage: Eukaryota; Viridiplantae; Streptophyta; Magnoliopsida; Arecales; Arecaceae. The record is from RNAcentral.